This 253-nucleotide ribosomal RNA is filed under the name uncultured bacterium. Its description in RNAcentral is "partial 16S ribosomal RNA". It matches the Rfam family "Bacterial small subunit ribosomal RNA", at positions 524 to 776 of the family's 1533-position model. The record is from RNAcentral.
UACGAAGGGGGCGAGCGUUGUUCGGAAUUACUGGGCGUAAAGGGCGCGUAGGCGGCGACUCAAGUUAGAUGUGAAAGUCCUGGGCUUAACCUGGGGACUGCAUUUGAUACUGGGUUGCUUGAAUUCGGGAGAGGAUAGCGGAAUUCCCAGUGUAGAGGUGAAAUUCGUAGAUAUUGGGAAGAACACCGGUGGCGAAGGCGGCUAUCUGGACCGACAUUGACGCUGAGGCGCGAAAGCGUGGGGAGCGAACAGG